UACGGAGGGUGCGAGCGUUGUCCGGAAUCAUUGGGCGUAAAGGGCGCGUAGGUGGCUUCUUAAGCGUGCGGUGAAAGCCUGGGGCUCAACCCCGGGUCGGCCGUGCGAACUGGGGGGCUGGAGCACUGUAGAGGCAGGCGGAAUUCCGGGUGUAGCGGUGGAAUGCGUAGAGAUCCGGAGGAACACCGGUGGCGAAGGCGGGUCUCUGGGCCGAUACUGACGCUGAGGAGCGAAAGCGUGGGGAGCGAACAGG
This 253-nucleotide ribosomal RNA is filed under the name uncultured bacterium. RNAcentral's name for it is "partial 16S ribosomal RNA". It matches the Rfam family "Bacterial small subunit ribosomal RNA", at positions 524 to 776 of the family's 1533-position model. The record is from RNAcentral.